Molecule: ribosomal RNA, 468 nt
Filed under: uncultured bacterium
Lineage: Bacteria
Description: partial 16S ribosomal RNA
Rfam family: Bacterial small subunit ribosomal RNA
Source: RNAcentral
GACGAACGCUGGCGGCGUGCUUAACACAUGCAAGUCGAACGGACAGGCCCUGCUUUUGUGGCUUUCUCGUGUGGCGCACGGGUGUGUAACACGUGUGUAUCCUGCCCUUGUCUUUGUGAUAACUCUACGAAACUGGGGCUAAUACCGGAUAGGAGCUCCUGCUGCAUGGUGGUGGUUGGUAAGUUUCGGCGGUUGUGGAUGGACUCGCGGCUUAUCCGCUUGUUUGUGGGGUAGUUGAUUACCAAGGUUUUGACGGGUAGCCGGCCUGAGCGGGUGACCGGCGACAAUGGGACUAAGAGACGGCGCAGACGGCAACGGGAGGCAGCAGGGGGGAGUAUUGCACAGUGAGGGGAAGCCUGAGGCAGCAGCGCCGGGAGCGGGAUGACGGCCUUCUGGCGGUAAACCGCUGUCGACUGAGACGAAGCGGGAGUGACGGUAAUGGGUAAAGAAGCACCGGCUAACUACGUG